Molecule: long non-coding RNA, 2395 nt
Filed under: Camelus dromedarius (Arabian camel)
Lineage: Eukaryota; Metazoa; Chordata; Mammalia; Artiodactyla; Camelidae
Description: lncRNA (ENSCDRG00005011032.1)
Source: RNAcentral
AUGGGAAAGGAAGGCUACGAGUGGCGCAUCAGUGAAACCAAACUGUCUCCUCAUCUGCUCUCAGGUGCCUACAUGAGUCUCUCAGGCAUGUGUUCAGAUGUAUCCUGGCCAGCUCAUCACAAUGCAUGCACAUGGAACAGGCUGACGGAAGCAAAUGAUCCCAUCCUCUGCAAAUGCCUGGUGCGGGAGGGACCUAAGAGGGUACCACCGAACACCUCCCUUUCCUCAAGAUGUAUCACACCUCCGUCCUGCAUACAUCAGCAUCACAGGCAUAUGGGAUGGACUGUGAAGCAGGCAGCUAACUAUAAAUACUGGAUGCUCAGUUCAGGGACUUAUGGCAUAGCCAGGAGAUAAUAAUAAAUAAUUGUAUGAAGUCAAUCAGAAUAAAAUCAAUUGUUACAAGCUGGAUGGAGGAAUAUAAGGGACACUAGUGCAUUUUAAAAUACCAAUAAUACCAAUAAUAAAAGAAGACUAGUGUGGCCACAUGUGAAUAUUUAUGUUUAAAAAAGGUAAGUUUGUAUCCAGAAGGGACUGAAUUUAGCAGCAUCACUGUAUAAACCAAAAAAAUACAUGGGGAUCUUAUUGUUUUCCUAUACUAGCUGAAAAAUAUAAAUCUGCUUGUCUAAACUGAGACAGCAGGAAUAAAAGGCUUCGAACAGUCUGCAACAUAGAUGGAACUUCCAACUUCUCCUCCUGCCUUACUACCUACCGCUCAUCAAACUCAAGACCCUUUUUGCCAACAAAGGAUGCCUCAGAUCAAAGUUUCACAGACCUGAGGCUUCCUGAGGCUUGUCAGGGACUAGCAUCACUGAGAAACAUUUUAUAUUCCAAGUCAAGCAUCUAUGAUCAAAGUCACAUGUAGAGGGCAUUCAGAAAACACUAUAAAAGAGCUAUGCAAACUCCAAAGAAGGAAACACCACAACAUUCAGAUUAAAAAAAAAAAAGUCACUCUAUCUGAAAAACCAGCCUUCUAAGAACCCACUGUCUCCAGGGUUACUGCGUAGUAAUGUUUACAAUUGUUGUCAUCAGUGUCAAACUGGCCAUGUGUCAGAACAGGCAAUGUGCUAACCGUGUUAUUUGUUACCCAUUUCAUCCUCCCAAGUGCCUUAAGGACUUGUGACCAUUAGAAUCUCCAUUGUACUGCUGGGGAGAAAAAAAAAAAAAAACACCGGAGUAUCAGAAAAAUUGGAUAACUUGCCCAAGUUCACAUAGAUAAUGUGCAGAAGAGCUGGAGUCAAAGCCAGGUAAAUCCUCCUCCUCAGCCGGGAGCUAACCUGAGCUCUGCGGAGCAGCGCCCAGUUUCACAAUUUCACAACUAGGGGGUGGAGGCAAGGAAGGCUGGGGACUGUCUCUUAAAGGAAACGACAGAAGUUUGCUUUUAUGUUUGUGAUUUUUCUCUUUAACUCAGCUUCCUUGUUCUCUCCCAGGACUUAGAAGCGAGAGGAGCUAUGGCUGCGGGAGGUCACCCAGUCCUGUAUGAGAAGCAUCCUGUCUCCCACAGGACCGCCAGGGCUGGCAGACCUGUGGGAGAUAGACUGGAUUGCUUCUCCGGGGCUAGAAAGAUCACUGUACCGCACGAGAUGACUGGCGCCCACGCGUCCCUCACCUCUCCAGCGACUCCACCAAGAGUCUGAUGGACACCCUCGGCGGGGCAUCUUUCUGAGAAAACAGGUCAGGGGAAGAGAGAGAGAAGCUGCAAGCAGUCUGUACCCAGGCUGCCACAGGUCCAGGCCGGAAUGGACGUGAUACCCAGUGGGCACGCUGGGACACACUGCCCCCUUCUAUCCUCACCGUUCACAGCAGCACUCUGGAGAAACCAAGGCGCGGGUCUAGCAGGGCAAAUCCUUUAAAGAGCUGGGAGAGGGGUACAGCUACGCGCAGCCAUCCCAAGACCGCGUUACUUAAAUGCCUACAAAGAUGGGGCUCUGGACAGUGGGUUCGAGUCCUGGCCACAGCACAAACUAGCUGAUCUAUCCCAGCCGCUGCCUCUCUCUGUGCCUCAGUUUGCCCUUCUGGAAAACAGGGUUGAAGGAGACGAUCUGUAAGAAUCUUUCCACCCUGAGAUUCUGUAGAUCGGUGAUCCCCCGAGCCCUCAUCGCCGUGAGAGACUCACCUUUCUUGGGAAGCAGCGCGGGCGCAGCGAAGGCAGUGGGGAUGGGUGCCGGAUCGCCCAGCACUGCUUCUUUCGGUGCGCCUGUCCAAAGCGGAGCUCCGGGGACCCCGAUCCGGCCAGUCUUCCCGCAGUGAGCCUCUUACUUUCCGCCGCACUUUCUUUUUUCCCCUUUGGGGUCCUCCCCCCGGCGCGGCGCGAUUGGCCGCCGCCACGCGGGUCCGGCUCCUCCCGCCGCCUCGGCUCUCGCCAGCCGCCCCGCUCUCAGAGCUUCCCAGAGCGAGG